AGCCAUGCAGUGAGCACAGAGCGAACUAUUCUUUCGCCUUUUACUAAAGAAUACCGUGUGCUCGCUGUACAUAGUGGCAUACGCCAAUUUUUGUAGGGCUCUCCUUAAAAGGAGGGC
Molecule: small nuclear RNA, 117 nt
Organism: Macadamia integrifolia
Lineage: Eukaryota; Viridiplantae; Streptophyta; Magnoliopsida; Proteales; Proteaceae
Product: U5 spliceosomal RNA
Exons: 1
Source: RefSeq, a predicted model, not a curated record